GCGGUGCUGCCUGGUUCGUCAGGACAACUGUAUCCCCGGGGCCAUACGACUCCCAAGGGAGCUGUCACUGUUCUCGCUCGAGGGCUUGGACAUUACGGCGCCCACCUACAUCAGUAGGCGCCCGGGAUCGAACCGUCCAACGGCCGAGGUGGCCCGCU
This 158-nucleotide non-coding RNA is filed under the name Labrys okinawensis. RNAcentral describes it as "6S / SsrS RNA". It matches the Rfam family "6S / SsrS RNA". From Rfam's summary of the family: E. coli 6S RNA was the first non coding RNA to be sequenced, but its function was unknown until recently. RNAcentral also lists the same sequence under 6 other names. Lineage: Bacteria; Pseudomonadati; Pseudomonadota; Alphaproteobacteria; Hyphomicrobiales; Xanthobacteraceae. The record is from Rfam by way of RNAcentral.